Molecule: long non-coding RNA, 493 nt
Filed under: Macaca nemestrina (pig-tailed macaque)
Lineage: Eukaryota; Metazoa; Chordata; Mammalia; Primates; Cercopithecidae
Description: lncRNA (ENSMNEG00000045965.1)
Source: RNAcentral
CUGAAACAGUUGUUAUGGAGGACUGAGUUAGUGAGACCUGGCCUGCCACAGCCAGAGAAAGCCCUCAGUUUGUCCUGGAUGGUGGAUGCCCUAGGGAUAUGGUUGCAGCACCCACAGCAUCUGCAGCAGUCCAGAAGCCACUGGGCUUCCUGGAGUGUUUUUGGAGCAGUGAGUACCGCAGACUUUAGCAAGCACACUGGAUGAGAAUUCAACAGUGACCUUGCUUGAGAAAGACGAACAACACUUCAGGCAGCAUGUCAAAUAGAUUCAAGUUUCAAGAAAUCAGGAAGAAACCAUCUUGGAAAACAAAUAUUGAAACUAGAAUAAGACUUCAAAAUAAACAGGAAGGACUUAAAGUUUAUGAAAUAGAAAAAGAUAAUAUAAAGGAUCAGUAUAACUAAAAGCUAGUCUUCAAAAGGACAGGUAAGAUACAAGGCUCCUGCUCUGUGUCUGUGUUCGUGAGUUCAUGCAUGCAUGUGUGUGUUUGGUGGGG